GGCCCGCGGGCGGGUCCCGGCGGGUCCCGGCGCCAUCAGCCCCGCAGCGGAGCAGCGCGAUGGCGGCGGGGGCGGUGGUGCUGGGGGUGGUGGCGAUCGUGGGCAUCGUGCUGAUGGUGGGGAUGCUGUUGCACGGCGACGUGACCCUCACCGCGGACGUGGGCGGUGGGCGGAGGGGAAAGUUCAGAGCACGACGGGGAGGCUUUUGCAAAGACUCCAAGUAAUUGUCCCAACGCCCUCUGAGGGACAAGGAUGAGAUUUCCAGAUGAAGUGAAAUCGUUCACCAGCAAAAGUGGCAUCGUGGAGAUAAGAAAAGGAACACCCCACCCAGAGACAGGGAGAGGAUCCAAUGAGGAACAAGGAGGCUCCAGCCCCCAGUGCAGCUGUUGGCCCGACAGCCAGGGGAGGGGAGGGAACUCGACAUGGGAAGGGUGUAAUUGCCGGGGAGUUGUAUGUCCCUCCCUCUCCAGGGGCACCCAGCUCGAGCUGAUUUCCUGCUGCACCAUCCGAAUAAAUUGUGAUUAUCAUUAA
This is a long non-coding RNA of Apus apus (common swift), 531 nucleotides long. RefSeq lists it as uncharacterized. The transcript is spliced from 3 exons. Lineage: Eukaryota; Metazoa; Chordata; Aves; Apodiformes; Apodidae. The record is from RefSeq and is a predicted model, not a curated record.